Molecule: non-coding RNA, 438 nt
Organism: Dicentrarchus labrax (European seabass)
Lineage: Eukaryota; Metazoa; Chordata; Actinopteri; Moronidae
Source: the annotation of a RefSeq genome assembly
CUACUUAUCUGACUGCAGAGAGGAUGACAGAGAACAGUGGACACACAGUCUAACAUGAUGGACUAUAGGACAGGACUGCUGCUGUUAACUAUCUGCUGGGCAGGUGUUGAUGGUCAGACUCUGACAGAAUCUGAACCAGUGGUUAAAAGGCCUGGAGAAUCUCACAGAUUGACCUGUACAGCCUCUGGAUUCACAUUCAGCAGCUACGCUAUGAACUGGGUCAGACAGGCUCCUGGAAAAGGACUGGAGUGGGUUGCCAGGAUUCAGAGUGGUGGUAGCAGCAAAUACUACUCUCAGUCAGUUCAAGGCCGGUUUACCAUCUCCAGAGACAACAGCAGACAGCAGCUGUAUCUGCAGAUGAACAGUCUGAAGACUGAAGAUUCUGCUGUUUAUUAUUGUGCUCGACACCCACAGUGACACAGUAAGGAGCAACGCUGU